CAGUCGCCACGGGAAUACGAAGGGGGCUAGCGUUACUCGGAAUUACUGGGCGUAAAGGGCGCGUAGGCGGCGCUCCAAGUUAGGCGUGAAAGUCCUGGGCUCAACCUGGGAACUGCGCUUAAGACUGGAGUGCUUGAGGAUGGAAGAGGGUUGUGGAAUUCCCAGUGUAGAGGUGAAAUUCGUAGAUAUUGGGAAGAACACCGGUGGCGAAGGCGGCAACCUGGUCCAUUACUGACGCUGAGGCGCGACAGCGUGGGGAGCAAACAGGAUUAGAUACCCGUGUAGUCCCUGUCUCUUAUAC
RNAcentral lists this ribosomal RNA (301 nucleotides) under uncultured bacterium. RNAcentral's name for it is "partial 16S ribosomal RNA". It matches the Rfam family "Bacterial small subunit ribosomal RNA", at positions 509 to 807 of the family's 1533-position model. The record is from RNAcentral.